This 487-nucleotide ribosomal RNA is filed under the name uncultured bacterium. Its description in RNAcentral is "partial 16S ribosomal RNA". It matches the Rfam family "Bacterial small subunit ribosomal RNA", at positions 32 to 506 of the family's 1533-position model. The record is from RNAcentral.
AACGCUGGCGGUAGGCCUAACACAUGCAAGUCGAACGGCAGCACAGUAAGAGCUUGCUCUUACGGGUGGCGAGUGGCGGACGGGUGAGGAAUACAUCGGAAUCUACUUUUUCGUGGGGGAUAACGUAGGGAAACUUACGCUAAUACCGCAUACGACCUACGGGUGAAAGCAGGGGAUCUUCGGACCUUGCGCGAUUGAAUGAGCCGAUGUCGGAUUAGCUAGUUGGCGGGGUAAAGGCCCACCAAGGCGACGAUCCGUAGCUGGUCUGAGAGGAUGAUCAGCCACACUGGAACUGAGACACGGUCCAGACUCCUACGGGAGGCAGCAGUGGGGAAUAUUGGACAAUGGGCGCAAGCCUGAUCCAGCCAUACCGCGUGGGUGAAGAAGGCCUUCGGGUUGUAAAGCCCUUUUGUUGGGAAAGAAAAGCAGCAGGUUAAUACCCCGCUGUUCUGACGGUACCCAAAGAAUAAGCACCGGCUAACUUCGU